CUGAUGCAGCAACGCCGCGUGAGGGACGACGGCCUUCGGGUUGUAAACCUCUUUUAGCAGGGAAGAAGCGAAAGUGACGGUACCUGCAGAAAAAGCGCCGGCUAACUACGUGCCAGCAGCCGCGGUAAUACGUAGGGCGCAAGCGUUAUCCGGAAUUAUUGGGCGUAAAGAGCUCGUAGGCGGUUUGUCGCGUCUGCUGUGAAAUCCGGAGGCUCAACCUCCGGCCUGCAGUGGGUACGGGCAGACUAGAGUGCGGUAGGGGAGAUUGGAAUUCCUGGUGUAGCGGUGGAAUGCGCAGAUAUCAGGAGGAACACCGAUGGCGAAGGCAGAUCUCUGGGCCGUAACUGACGCUGAGGAGCGAAAGGGUGGGGAGCAAACAGGCUUAGAUACCCUGGUAGUCCACCCCGUAAACGUUGGGAACUAGUUGUGGGGUCCAUUCCACGGAUUCCGUGACGCAGCUAACGCAUUAAGUUCCC
This 476-nucleotide ribosomal RNA is filed under the name Microbacterium sp. RNAcentral describes it as "bacterial SSU rRNA". It matches the Rfam family "Bacterial small subunit ribosomal RNA", at positions 383 to 869 of the family's 1533-position model. The record is from RNAcentral. Lineage: Bacteria; Bacillati; Actinomycetota; Actinomycetes; Micrococcales; Microbacteriaceae.